This 310-nucleotide long non-coding RNA is filed under the name Gallus gallus (chicken). The record is from RNAcentral. Lineage: Eukaryota; Metazoa; Chordata; Aves; Galliformes; Phasianidae.
GUAGCUUCUUUCAGCCUUGAGCUGGAAAGUGACCCUAGACUUCUCCAGCAGAUAUGUUUCAAUGUCAGCAGAAGCCAGUUUGCCUGUGGCCCCAAAGUGGAUUCUGAUGAAUUUACCAAAGCGUGAGGAGUUGUCAUUCCUCACAGUCUUGGCAUUUCCAAAGGCCUCCAGCAGGGGGUUGGCACUGAUGAUUUGAUCCUCAAGUGUCCCCUGCAUUUUGCCCGCUGGCUGCUCCUCCUUCUUCUUAUCUCCACUAGCUGCAAUUGUUGCAAAGUACUGGAUGACACGUUUCGUGUUCACAGUCUUCCCU